CCGCAGUGUUACCAUCGUCAGUGGUGCCAUGCUUGCCAAUAGCAUAUGAAUGCCGUCUAUAAGAUACUGCGUGUCUCCAUCUUCCUCGAGUAUCGUUAAACCGCUGGUUCUCCAAGGCGACGAAGAAGAGGAGAGAACGUCGAAGCAAGAGAAGGGAGAGCGAGCACGGUGCUGAAGCCUGAAAAUCAAUUACCAAUCACGCCUUUGGGUAAAGCCCCAACGCCUCGUGCUCGUCCAACGGAAUAUAAUGGGAG
RNAcentral lists this unclassified non-coding RNA (254 nucleotides) under Bombus terrestris (buff-tailed bumblebee). RNAcentral describes it as "misc RNA ENSBTSG00005029310.1". Lineage: Eukaryota; Metazoa; Arthropoda; Insecta; Hymenoptera; Apidae. The record is from RNAcentral.